GACAGAGGAGGCCAGCGUUAUCCGGAGUCAUUGGGCGUAAAGGGUACGUAGGCGGCUAGUCAAGUCUGAGGUUAAAGUCCACAGCUCAACUGUGGGAAGGCCUUGGAAACUGACUGGCUAGAGUGGGGCAGGGGUUGCGGGAAUUCCCGGUGUAGCGGUGAAAUGCGUAGAUAUCGGGAAGAACACCUGAGGCGAAAGCGCGCAACUGGGCCCUAACUGACGCUGAGGUACGAAAGCUAGGGGAGCGAAUGGG
Molecule: ribosomal RNA, 253 nt
Filed under: uncultured bacterium
Lineage: Bacteria
Description: partial 16S ribosomal RNA
Rfam family: Bacterial small subunit ribosomal RNA
Source: RNAcentral